GUGCUACAGUAGAGCUCAUUUUUCUCUCUCAAGCUUCUGGUGUUUUUCCCUUGACAACAUUAAUCCUCAUGAAUGGCAGCAGCAGCGGCGCCUGUAGGAUAGGUCCCCCUGCAGCACAGGACGAUAAAUUGUGGAGGAUAAAUCGACUGUACAGAAGCGUAGAUGAAGAGCGAAAUGUUCCGUUUCUUUCGCGCAUCCAGAACUGUGCUUCAUAGGCUGAGAAAACGUCUUAGAUAAAUAAACUCCGUGAGGCUGGGGUUUAAAAGCAGGAAGCAGCUGAACGCGGAAACUGCCUAUUGGACUAUCAUCUGUUUAAACACCGAGAAGGAUCCUGCGAAAUCUAAAGUAAAUACAAAGGCGCAUUUGAGCAAUCUUUAAAAGAGGCUUAAAACAAACCCUAUUUAAUCCUUUUAAAUGGUGCAUCUCCCCCAGCGGAAACAGAACAUGCCAAUUAGUUGAACAUCCUGACAAACAAAAUCUCUCAGGGCUGCACAGUGAAGGGAGACAGGUGCAUCCACUUAGUGAGGUCUUUUAAGGGGAAGCCAGCUGCAUUUCUGAACAUCUACAUGGCAUAACAAAAUGAAGACAGCAUACUUGAAAGGGAGGUAAUGGCGGUGAGUGCCCAAGAGCCAGGAAAAUGAGAAGGAGAAAGGAAACAGGUACUAAUUCUUGGCACGAGAGAUCGGAGUACAAGUCAAGGCAGGUUCGACUAUGCCGUGGUGACAGAAACUCGGAAAUCUUGCCACACGCACAUCUCGCUUGAUGGCUCUGCUCCAUGGGCCCUGGGACUCAGGCUCCUCCCUGUGGAGGCAGGAGGCCCAGGGUGGCAGUCUCUCCUGGCACUGACGUUUCCACGUGGAAGUGAUAUGCGAUUUCUGCUUCCAUUUUGCUGGAAGUCGUGGGGACAGAUGUAGGGCAAGAAGGAGGAGAGCAGGAGGCGUUUGGGAGCAGUUACUCCUGCCCAGUUCAAGCUGAGGUGUGGGUCUCGCCCACCACAUGCAGAAACACAUGGACCAUGCGGCCCAGCAACCCAGCUAAAGGGCUACGCAAAGUGUCUCUCAGGGAACUGCAGAGAUGGCCUCCUCUCCUUCCCUGGGAGCCUCGACUGUGGGAUUCCACUGGGCUCAAUAUUGUGAAACUUUGACAUCUUUCCCUGCUGCUCCUGAAUUGUUAGGCUGCUAUCAACUCCUGGAACAACAAAGAAAAGGGUAUUUCUUUUGUGGUGACAUAUGGGAAGAUGGUGACAGGAGGGAGUGUGAUGUCUGGGGAACCCAGAAGAAAGAGAAUCAGGCAGGUUUUCCUUCCACCAGUCCUGGGAAUGAAGAGCUUCUAGUUCAGAAGAGCUGUGGUGUGGUGCAUAUUGCUGUACACAUAAAAAGGCCAUUUGUGGAGUGUAAAUUAUACAUUUUUCCAAUAAAUAGUUUUUUCAGCUCCAAGAACAUACAUCAAACACGUAACUUAAUGAUGUAUCCUUUGGGUUGCGGGUUCCCAUUCAUGGGUGCAGAGUAAUUGCAAUGACUGUAACUCAGGCCUUGAUGAACAGCUUAGGAUGGCCCGUGUUUUAGUGUAAAUUGUGUAUCACUUAGAGUCUGAAGUUGUCAGUUAAAAUCCCAACUCUGCCACUGUUUCCAGGUGACCGUGCCCACCUCAAUUUCCUCAUCUGAAAACCAUGGGAAAACUCUGUUCACCAGCUCUAAGUCCCAAGUGUGUCAUAGUGUAAACGGCAGUGUUCUUUUCUUUCUCAGUGACACCAAAUAAUGUUGAGUUUUUUCCGAAGAUGGUGUCUUAGGUUCAGUGGAAUCCAGUAAUAGCUGUUUUUGAAGCGUGUAAUUACUCUUAGAAGCUGGAUGUCAUUCCUGGUAAUUUUCAAAGCUUGUCCCUGAUUGGUCCCAGGUAUAGGAAGAUAUGUUGAGUAUUUAUUAUGCUUACUUUCAAGCAAAAUUAACCCUCAAAAUUGACCUUGCUACACAGUAACCUGCUAAGCUGGAAAAGCAAUCUUUUUUUUCUCUCAGAAUGGGGAGCUCUGAGAGUACAUUUUUCCAAUAUAUAUUUUCAGUUCUGAGAAGGUAUGUAAAACAUUUAACUCAGUAACGUACAUUUUGGGUUACUGAUUCCCAUUCACUGGUGCACAGUAAAUUACAAUUUCUG
Molecule: long non-coding RNA, 2148 nt
Filed under: Equus caballus (horse)
Lineage: Eukaryota; Metazoa; Chordata; Mammalia; Perissodactyla; Equidae
Description: lncRNA (ENSECAG00000053813.1)
Source: RNAcentral